UACGAAGGUGGCAAGCGUUGUUCGGAUUUACUGGGCGUACAGGGAGCGUAGGCGGUUGGAUAAGCCCUCCGUGAAAUCUCCAGGCUUAACCUGGAAAGUGCAGAGGGGACUGUUCAGCUAGAGGAUGGGAGAGGAGCGCGGAAUUCCCGGUGUAGCGGUGAAAUGCGUAGAGAUCAGGAGGAACACCUGUGGCGAAGGCGUCCAUCUGGCCCGUUACUGACGCUGAGGCGCGAAAGCUAGGGGAGCAAACGGG
Molecule: ribosomal RNA, 253 nt
Filed under: uncultured bacterium
Lineage: Bacteria
Description: partial 16S ribosomal RNA
Rfam family: Bacterial small subunit ribosomal RNA
Source: RNAcentral